AAUACCACAGUAACAGUAAGUGAAGACACCAGACCUGGAUCUGAUUCUGGGAACAGCUUGAAGACCUCUGCCUGAUGACCUGAGAGGCCUGAUAAUCAAUGAUCAAUGACACAGAUCAAUCUGAAUGGAGGGAACUUCUGCAAUCUCCGGUGUCUUCGUGGACUCCUCGUCUGACAAUUUCUUCUGUACUGAGGCCGCUGUGAGGUCUCACGCAGUCAGCAAGUAAAUUACUUUACUUUCAAUUUCAUAAAUAGGACCUAUACGUUUAAUUGAAUAAGAGAUAGAAUGAACUGGCAAACCAAGAAAACCCCCACACCUGCAGAAGUGACUCAGAUGUUAGUAAAGUAACUCGUAGUUUGACCAUGAAGUGACCAAAACAUUAUUACCACAGAAUCUGAAAUUCAAAAGGCAGCUGGUGAAGAACGGACUGUUUGUGUUCUCCUGGAAUUAUUUAGAUAAAGUCAGUCAAUAUAGAAUCUGUGUUUUUUUUUUUUUUUUUUUAAAUAACUACAUUUUGUUCAUGAUCUUCAGCUAAAGGAA
Long non-coding RNA from Sander lucioperca (pikeperch), 540 nucleotides. RefSeq lists it as uncharacterized. NCBI's taxonomy places the organism in Eukaryota, Metazoa, Chordata, Actinopteri, Perciformes, Percidae. The record is from RefSeq and is a predicted model, not a curated record. The transcript has 2 exons.